UCAUCUUGCACUCGGGAUCUGGCCUGUCUUCUCCACCCCAGCUGGAGUCAUAGUCACGUUCAUGGCCCAGACGACCUUCUGCAGAGACAAGGUGAAUGUUUCUCGAAGGAAACUCUUACUAAAAAGGUUUAGAAAAUCCUGUCUGGAUUUGGAAUCUGGCCCAAUUUGCCUCACAUGGAUCGGGUCGCGGAAAGAGCACUGCUCAGAGGAUCUGAUAAAGGGAGCUGUGCUUCUGAUUCCGACCCUUGCUGCCCGCGUGCCUGUGGACAAGCCUCAGCGGGAGACGCAAGGACUUCUGGACAGGCAGCCCAGAAGACCAAGGGGCUCGCUCAGGUCACGCGGUGAGACUGGCCGAAUCCCGUCUCUAGAGCACGUUGCUCUCAAAUAGAAUCCUCCCCUCGGGAGGGUAGAGACCUUCACUGCCAUGUGUCCCUCCUGUAUCCUGCGUGCAGAGUGCGACGCUUGGCACCUUGCAGGUGCUUGAUCGGAAGUAGAAUGAAGAACGAGUCUCGGUGGAAGAACUUUCACGGGUCAGGCUCCCUGCCCUUGGCUCUGGGAACAGCACCGUGAAGGGGGCUGAUUAACACGGUUCCUUCUCCUACAGAACUUAGGGAUAAACUGGGGCUUGGACCCGAUACACAUUAUUACAGAGGUGAAUGCAAUAAUUACAACCGUCUGCUCUUUACAGACAAGAGGACAGGACCCAGGCAGGCCUCAGAGCUGCCCACUGGGUGAGGAAAGGAGGGGAGGUCGGGCCUGACCCCCAGGCCCACCUGGCCCCUACUAAUGCCUCGUCUUGCUUCACAGAGCUGGGCUCUGUCAUCCUGGCUAAAGGGUGUGACUAGGCCUGCCUGAGGGAAGAGUGACCUCAGCUGCUCGGCUGCAGGGGCCCUGCCAGACUCUGUCACACCUACAGCGAGGGCUGCCCCUGCCUGAAGCCCUGGGCUGGGCAGGGACAGGGCAGGUACUGAGUCUCCACCCAUCAGCUGUGCGUUGUGUUCCCUAAGUCCUCCCACUGGGUCAGCCCAGUCUGCCCAAGCUGUUCUUUCUGCCUGGGGUGGCCGCUCCACUCCUCAUCCCCCGAAAAAAUUCUUCCCAUGCUUCCAGGUGAAGUGCAAACCUCACCUCCUCCA
Leopardus geoffroyi (Geoffroy's cat) is the source of this 1133-nucleotide long non-coding RNA. RefSeq lists it as uncharacterized. Lineage: Eukaryota; Metazoa; Chordata; Mammalia; Carnivora; Felidae. The transcript is spliced from 3 exons. The record is from RefSeq and is a predicted model, not a curated record.